RNAcentral lists this RNase P RNA (341 nucleotides) under Sediminibacterium sp. RNAcentral describes it as "RNase P RNA component class A". It matches the Rfam family "Bacterial RNase P class A". From Rfam's summary of the family: Ribonuclease P (RNase P) is a ubiquitous endoribonuclease, found in archaea, bacteria and eukarya as well as chloroplasts and mitochondria. Its best characterised activity is the generation of mature 5'-ends of tRNAs by cleaving the 5'-leader elements of precursor-tRNAs. Lineage: Bacteria; Pseudomonadati; Bacteroidota; Chitinophagia; Chitinophagales; Chitinophagaceae. The record is from RNAcentral.
CUACAAAUUCGAACUAUCGAUAUGUAAAAACAUAUAGGAAAGUCCGGACAGCAUAGAGCAACUUACCGGUGAAAUACCGGCUUUCGGUAACGAAAAGAGAAAGUGCCACAGAAAAUAACUACCUUGAAAAAGGAAAAGGUGAAAAUGUGCGGUAAAAGCGUACAAUUUAAAUUGGUAACAGUUUAAAUGGGUAAACCUUAAGUGCUGUAAUGCCAUGUAUAGGAACGUUUGAAAUUUGCUCGAUUGAGUUCCAGGGUAGGCAGCAUGACUUUAAUAGUAAUAUUAAAGCUAGAUAAAUGAUAGUUUAAAAACAGAAUCCGGCUUAUGAAAUUUGUAGCUUU